AGAUGGAGUCUCACUCUGUUGCCAGGCUGGAGUACAGUGGCACAAUUUCCCCUCACUGCAACCUCCGCCUCCCGGGUUCAAGUGAUUCCUGUGCCUCAGCAUCCUGAGUAGCUGGGACUACAGCUCUGCUUCUGUGGCAAAAAGAAAGAUUAUAAUGCUGGCACAUGAGUUUUACAACAUUUUCUGCAUAACUAACUGGUUGAGAUUGGACAGCAUUGCUGGAGACCAACGGAAGCAGAGCUAUUUAUGGAGGUAGACAGAAAAACAGAAGCAUCCACUGUUGGAUUUCCAGGACAUAUCCCAGCAAUAGGCAGAAGUUCUACGACGACCUUAAUACAUUGACCUUAAGCCGAGGAAACAAUUGUUAUCUGUGAACUCUCCAUUAAAUAUAUCAAAUGAGAAAA
Symphalangus syndactylus (siamang) is the source of this 404-nucleotide long non-coding RNA. RefSeq lists it as uncharacterized. The record is from RefSeq and is a predicted model, not a curated record. NCBI's taxonomy places the organism in Eukaryota, Metazoa, Chordata, Mammalia, Primates, Hylobatidae.